RNAcentral lists this long non-coding RNA (458 nucleotides) under Nicotiana tabacum (common tobacco). Its description in RNAcentral is "long non-coding RNA (NTAB_LNC016926)". The record is from RNAcentral. Lineage: Eukaryota; Viridiplantae; Streptophyta; Magnoliopsida; Solanales; Solanaceae.
GUCUCCUAUUGGUGAAAUUAUUCUUAGGAAGUGCGUCUCCUAUUGGUACAAUGGAUUUAGGAAGUGCGUCUCCUAUUGGUGAAACUGAACUUAGGAUGUGCGUCUCCUAUUGGUGAAACUUAAUUUAGGAUGUGCGUCUCCUAAUGAUGAAACUAUUCUUAGGAUGUGCGUCUCCUACUGGUGAAAUUAACUUAGGAAGUGCGUCUCCUACUGGUGAAAUUGACUUAGGAAGUGCGUCUCCUACUGGUGAAACUAACUUAGGAAGUGCGUCUCCUCUUGGUGAAUCUUAUCUUAGGAUGUGCGUCUCCUCUUGGUGAAUCUUAUCUUAGGAAGUGCGUCUCCUAUUGUAAAAAUUGAACUUAGGAAGUGUGUCUCCUAUGGGUAGAACUGAACUUAGGAAGUGCGUCUCCUAUCGGUAGAACUGAAACAAACUUAGGAGGAAAUGCAUCUCCUAUGGG